Molecule: RNA transcript, 15623 nt
Organism: Symphalangus syndactylus (siamang)
Lineage: Eukaryota; Metazoa; Chordata; Mammalia; Primates; Hylobatidae
Gene: TTC21B
Gene name: tetratricopeptide repeat domain 21B
Source: RefSeq, a predicted model, not a curated record
GGUCCCAGCCGCGCCUGCUCCAUUACAGCAAGAUCCCUGCCACACAGGCCCGCCACACAGGCCCGCCCCUCCCUCCGACAGCCAAUGGCGGCGCGACCCCGCCCCUCCCGCCGGUUUCCGGGGCGCUAGCGCGCUCCGGGAGGCUGGGGGCGCUGAAUUCUGCAUCUUCCUUUAGACUGCGGCGAGACAACUACCCCGAGCCCCGCGGCCCGGCCUUGGGGCAGCCAUGGACUCGCAGGAAUUGAAGACUUUGAUUAAUUACUAUUGUCAAGAGAGAUAUUUCCAUCAUGUGUUACUGGUUGCCAGUGAAGGAAUUAAGAGGUAUGGAAGUGAUCCAGUCUUCAGGUUUUAUCAUGCCUAUGGUACAUUAAUGGAAGGUAAAACUCAAGAAGCUCUUCGAGAAUUUGAGGCUAUUAAAAAUAAACAAGAUGUAUCACUUUGUUCUCUACUUGCACUGAUAUAUGCCCAUAAAAUGAGUCCUAAUCCAGAUAGAGAAGCUAUUCUGGAAUCAGAUGCCAGAGUGAAGGAACAACGUAAAGGAGCUGGAGAGAAAGCCUUAUACCAUGCAGGCUUAUUUUUAUGGCACAUUGGUCGCCAUGAUAAAGCAAGGGAAUAUAUUGACAGAAUGAUCAAAAUGUCAGAUGGUAGUAAACAGGGACACGUUUUGAAAGCAUGGCUUGAUAUUACAAGAGGAAAAGAGCCUUACACUAAAAAAGCACUGAAGUAUUUUGAAGAGGGACUCCAAGAUGGGAAUGAUACUUUUGCUCUGCUGGGUAAGGCACAAUGCCUUGAGAUGCGCCAGAAUUAUUCAGGUGCCCUGGAGACUGUGAACCAGAUUAUUGUGAAGUUUCCGAGCUUCCUUCCCGCUUUUGUUAAGAAAAUGAAAUUACAACUGGCCUUGCAAGAUUGGGACCAGACAGUUGAGACAGCACAAAGGUUGCUGCUCCAAGAUAGCCAAAAUGUGGAAGCACUGAGAAUGCAGGCACUCUACUAUGUGUGUAGGGAGGGGGAUAUAGAGAAGGCUUCCACCAAGCUGGAAAACUUGGGAAAUGCAUUGGAUGCCAUGGAACCACAGAAUGCUCAACUUUUCUAUAACAUUACACUCGCCUUCAGCAGAACUUGUGGACGUAGUCAACUCCUUCUUCAAAAAAUUCAAACGUUACUUGAGAGAGCUUUUAGUUUAAACCCUCAACAAUCAGAAUUUGCUACAGAACUUGGAUACCAAAUGAUUUUACAAGGAAGAGUUAAAGAGGCACUGAAGUGGUAUAAGACCGCCAUGACACUUGAUGAGACUAGUGUGUCUGCCCUAGUUGGAUUUAUCCAAUGUCAGUUGAUAGAAGGGCAAUUACAGGAUGCAGAUCAGCAGCUAGAAUUUUUAAAUGAAAUCCAGCAGUCCAUUGGAAAAUCUGCGGAAUUGAUCUAUUUACAUGCAGUUCUUGCCAUGAAGAAAAAUAAACGACAAGAAGAAGUUAUUAAUUUGUUAAAUGAUGUCCUGGACACUCACUUUUCACAAUUAGAAGGUUUGCCUCUUGGCAUACAGUAUUUUGAAAAGCUAAAUCCUGAUUUCUUGUUAGAAAUUGUUAUGGAAUAUCUGAGCUUCUGUCCAAUGCAGCCUGCAAGUCCUGGGCAACCUCUUUGUCCACUUCUCAGGCGUUGCGUCUCAGUCCUGGAGACUGUAGUAAGAACUGUUCCAGGUCUUCUGCAAACUAUCUUCCUAAUAGCAAAAGUGAAAUAUUUGUCAGGUGAUAUUGAAGCAGCUUUUAAUAACCUUCAGCAUUGCUUAGAACACAAUCCCUCUUAUGCCGAUGCUCAUCUGCUGCUAGCUCAGGUUUACUUGUCUCAAGAAAAAGUCAAAUUGUGUUCUCAGUCUCUUGAACUUUGUCUGAGCUAUGAUUUUAAGGUGAGAGACUAUCCUUUAUAUCAUUUGAUAAAAGCUCAGUCACAAAAGAAAAUGGGAGAAAUAGCAGACGCAAUUAAAACACUGCAUAUGGCAAUGAGUUUACCAGGAAUGAAAAGAAUUGGAGCUUCCACAAAAUCAAAAGACAGAAAAACUGAAGUUGAUACAAGCCAUCGUUUAUCAAUCUUUCUUGAAUUGAUAGACCUUCACCGCUUAAAUGGAGAGCAGCAUGAGGCAGCCAAAGUUUUACAAGAUGCCAUCCAUGAAUUUUCUGGAACAUCUGAAGAAGUGCGGGUUACCAUUGCUAAUGCAGACCUAGCUCUUGCCCAAGGAGAUAUUGAGCGGGCUUUAAGCAUCCUUCAAAAUGUUACAGCCGAACAGCCUUAUUUUAUAGAGGCCAGAGAAAAAAUGGCAGAUAUUUAUCUGAAGCACAGAAAAGAUAAAAUGUUAUAUAUCACUUGUUUUAGAGAAAUUGCUGAAAGAAUGGCUAACCCUCGGUCUUUUCUUCUCCUUGGUGAUGCAUACAUGAAUAUUCUAGAGCCUGAAGAAGCCAUAGUAGCAUAUGAGCAAGCAUUAAAUCAGAACCCGAAGGAUGGAACAUUGGCAAGCAAAAUGGGCAAAGCACUUAUCAAAACUCAUAACUACUCAAUGGCAAUCACUUACUAUGAAGCUGCUCUGAAAACUGGACAAAAGAAUUAUCUUUACUAUGACCUGGCUGAGCUCUUAUUAAAAUUGAAAUGGUAUGACAAAGCAGAAAAAGUUCUUCAACAUGCUCUGGCUCAUGAACCUGUAAAUGAACUGUCAGCUCUCAUGGAGGAUGGACGUUGUCAAGUUCUUCUAGCAAAAGUUUAUAGUAAAAUGGAAAGACCUGGUGAUGCAAUCACUGCAUUACAACAGGCUCGAGAAUUACAAGCUCGGGUACUAAAACGUGUUCAGAUGGAACAGCCAGAUGCAGUUCCUGCACAGAAACAUUUAGCAGCUGAAAUUUGUGCAGAGAUUGCAAAACACUCUGUUGCUCAGCGAGACUAUGAGAAAGCAAUUAAGUUUUAUAGAGAGGCGCUGGCUCACUGUGAAACAGAUAGUAAGAUUAUGUUGGAACUGGCACGAUUAUACCUGGCACAAGAUGACCCUGAUUCCUGCCUGCGGCAGUGUGCUCUACUGCUUCAGAGUGACCAGGAUAAUGAAGCUGCUACCAUGAUGAUGGCUGAUCUCAUGUUCAGAAAACAAGACUAUGAACAAGCAGUGUUUCAUUUACAGCAGCUUUUAGAACGUAAGCCAGAUAAUUAUAUGACAUUAUCUCGUUUGAUUGAUCUCCUAAGAAGAUGUGGAAAACUCGAGGAUGUCCCAAGAUUUUUCUCAAUGGCUGAGAAACGUAACUCCAGAGCAAAAUUGGAACCAGGAUUUCAGUAUUGUAAAGGACUGUAUCUUUGGUACACUGGAGAACCAAAUGAUGCCCUUCGACAUUUUAAUAAAGCUCGGAAAGAUCGUGACUGGGGCCAAAAUGCCCUUUAUAAUAUGAUAGAAAUCUGUUUGAAUCCAGAUAAUGAAACUAUUGGAGGUGAAGUAUUUGAAAACCUGGAUGGAGACCUGGGUAAUUCAACUGAGAAGCAAGAAUCUGUGCAAUUGGCAGUAAGAACAGCAGAAAAACUUCUUAAGGAACUAAAACCUCAGACUGUUCAGGGUCACGUACAGCUUCGCAUAAUGGAAAACUAUUGCUUAAUGGCUACCAAACAGAAAUCUAAUAUUGAACAAGCAUUAAAUACCUUCACUGAAAUAGCAGCAUCUGAGAAGGAGCAUAUCCCAGCACUCUUGGGAAUGGCAACGGCUUAUAUGAUCUUGAAACAGACUCCACGAGCCAGAAACCAGCUGAAGCGUAUUGCGAAAAUGAAUUGGAAUGCUAUUGAUGCUGAAGAGUUUGAGAGGAGUUGGCUGCUACUUGCUGAUAUUUACAUUCAAUCAGCAAAAUAUGACAUGGCAGAAGAACUGUUAAAACGGUGCCUGCGUCAUAAUAGAUCUUGCUGCAAAGCUUAUGAAUAUAUGGGAUACAUUAUGGAAAAAGAGCAAGCAUAUACAGAUGCUGCCUUGAACUAUGAGAUGGCAUGGAAAUAUAGCAAUCGGACAAAUCCGGCAGUAGUGAUGAGGAAACCUGAAAAUGACAGCUCAAGCCACUUGUGUAAGAUCCCGAAGCUAGUCAGGAAGCCACAAACCAAAACUGAAAUCUUGACCAGUUCCCAUGAUUUGAUUGCCUCAUGUGACAAGCCCAAGAUCUGUGACAGUUGGAGCUCAAACUAGGCAGUCUUGAUUCCACACUGCUCUGAACUAGUAUUUGAAGGAACUAAUGGCCAUGACAUGUUAAAUGAAAGUUUGGGGACUUACACUCAGGAUGGAAGCGGGGGGACACAACAGAAAUGAAAGAAUUUUCUGUAGAUCUGGCAUCUGGACACCUGCCCCCCUCAUGGUAAGGACACAGUUGUAAGUUUAAUGUACUUUUGACCUUAAUUCAGCUAGUAUGGUGAACUGGGUCCCAAGAGGAAAUAGCUUUCUUCCCCAGAAGUCAAGAACCUGGAGCAAAUCUGGAAGGCUUUUAUGCAUGGACAGCUGAGGAAGCAGGUUGAACUUUGCACUAAAGUGGAAGUAGAUAAUGGAAUCACUAUGGAAACCAAAAGACCAAUUAAGAAUCUGACAGGAGCUAUCCUAGUUUGCGACUGGAGAUGACAAGUGAAUAGCUUUAAAAUAGGAUCAUAUAACAGCGUUCAUGCUGACAGAUUUUUUUAGAUGCAAGGUUUGCAAAGGUGCAAGGAAACCACCACAUUCAGACGCUGCUCGUCAAAGUGUAGCACAGCCUUCCUGAAGGGAAUAACUUUAAACAGCAAAAUAAACAGCAAAAAGCAAGUUUGAGAAGACUGUUCUCUAAAAACAGCACAAAAUAAGAGUCUGUCGUUUAACCAAGUGAUCCCACAUAGAGAAAUUUAUCACAGGAAAUAUUGUGAAAUUUUCUCAAAGGUUUCCAAUUUUAAAAAUUGUAACAGUGAAUUUUUUGCUGCUUUUGGUUAUCAAAACAUCCAACAUGAGGUUGUCAAAUAUGUAAGAUUUGACCAAUAAUAUAGUACUAGGUAGUCAUUGAAAACUAUUUCAAGGAUUUAUUUAUGUAUUUAAAUUUUUUGACUCAUGGGAGGCUGAGGCAUGUGGAUUGCCUGAGCUCAGGAGUUCACGACCAGCCUGGGCAACACGGUGAAACCUCGUCUCUACUAAAAUACAAAAAAUUAGCUGGGUGUGGUGGUGUGCGCCUGUAGUGCCAGCUACUCGGGAGGCUGAUGCAGGAGAAUUGCUUGAACCUGGGAGGUGGAGGUUGCAGUGAACCGAGAUCACACCACUGCACUCCAGCCUGGGCAACAGUGAGACUCCAUCUAAAAAAAAAAAUUUUUUUUGAAAGAUUUUAACUGCUAAAAUGCUCACAAAAUAAGUGAAUAAAGAGGAAAAUGUAACUGUUCAAAUAAUAAUAUAUCCAUUUACCAAAAACAUAGAUGCAUAUAAGAAUACACAAAACUAGAUGAAACUAACAUAGUUAUAUCUCAGUGAUGAAAUAUUUAUUUACCAUUGUAAAAGUUAAAUGGAAUUAAUGUAUAUUCUACACUAAAAAAAAAAGAUUUUGUUGUUUUUUAGAGAACAGCCUUCUCAAACUUGCUUUUUGCUGUUUAAAGUUAUUUUUCUGAACACAGAUUAAGAGAAAAAGCUAAACAAAAGCUGACAUUUCAACUCUCAGUACCACACUUUACUAUUAAUUGUUAAUGCAAAAUGCAAUCUAUAUUAGUUCAAUGGCCAGCGAUAGAGAUUCAGGAAGUGGAAGAUAGAAAAAAAAAGCCAGAAAGUAGUACUAGGAGUAGUAGCAGAAGUGGUACUAGAACGUAAGAUUUCCAGAGAGGAUGUGUAAGAGCAUAGUCCUGCAAUUACAUAAAGAAUUGAGAGCAAACCCAGUCCUCUGUAAUUUUAGUCCAUUAUUCCAGCAACAGAGUUUUAAUGAUGAUUCUACCAAAUAUAAUAAAUUAGAAGCCAGUGGAAAUAUCUGAAAUCCUGCAGAGCCUCCACAUGUGAUCCUGCAGUGUGUGCACUGCACAGAGUGACCCAGCCAAGGGCGCAGGAGAUGGAGGCAGAAAUCCUCCAAGUCUUACCACUCUGCAACUGCAUCUCCAUGCAGGAGGACUCCCUUUUCUAAUUUGAAUACAACUUUCUCAUAGGCUAGUGGAGCCCUGCGAAUGGAAGGAGAGGAACUAGAGUCAGUAUAGAAAAGUUUUUAGAAAUAAGGCUAAGGGUGAAGAGUGAUGUGUCUAUAAGGGUGUGAGAAGUCUGUCUUUUAAGAUAAGAGCUACUUGGGCAUCUAUGGAGAAAAAAAAAAAAAAAAAGCCAGUAAAUAUUGAAGGUACAAGAAAGAGAGGAGGGGAAAACCUGAAUAGAAAAAUGAUGGUAUCCAGGGGUUGCACAAUUUUUGCAAGGGGAGUGAAGGAACAAAUGAAGUGCAGAAAGAGUCACUGAUAUAAAGGUGGCUUCAGGAGCUGUUAUGCUAAUUGGCUCCAGUAGUUUUAUAAUCAAUAAAAUAGUCUUUGAGCUAAGGGCAAUACCACUCCUUCAUAUGCACAGGAUCUUGGACCUCUGUUUUCUUUGGACUCUGAGGUAUUUUUCACUUAUUUCCAGGUUCCUGGUUGUGGUUGUUGGAAUUCUGCCUGCCAGAUUAGAGGGGAGUUACUGUAACAUGAUAAAUCCCAGUUAUGAUAAAAUAUGUGCUACCCACCUUCUAAUGCCCCUCUUAAGAACCAGAUGUUUUCUAGAAAAAUGUUUCACUCUGCAAUCUGCCUUACAGUGCACAUCAAUGAAUUUGGCACAAUGCCCAUAAAAGCAAUCUGAUCCCAUAAAUGAGGGAUGCAGAGUAAUGAGCAGGUUCUAAAUGUCUUACUUCCGAGUGGUAUAACAUGAGACUCGAUGGCAAUCCUUAAACCAGGCUGCUUUCAAAUUGUAUGUAUGUUAUAUUUAUCUUCCUUCAAACAAAUUCUUUUGGCAAUGUAAAAGAAAUCCUGGUUUUUUUUGUUUUGUUUUUUUUUAAGGGGGUAUUUUAAGAAGGUAAUUACUAUUUCCAUUUUCACCAAAAGCAGCCUAGUUUUAUUUUUAAUGGGUAAGUGAUGUAAGAACCUUAAAAAACCACUUGAAACACAGGACAGAGCUGCAAAAUGUUCAGUAGUAUCCUCACUUAUUUCGGGUCAGGGCAAUAGGUCCUUUUGCAUAGUUACAGAUUAAACUUUCUUUGAAAAACACACUAAGCUUAAGAACUUUGAGGAAAAAGAAUGCACUAAAACGCUAAGCAGUUACAAAAAUGCUCUUUUCAUACAGUUUAAUAUGUGAAGUUGCUCUAGUAAAUAAAUAAAAACUCCUCCCUUACAUAGUUUCCUGAAGAAUUUUUUGUCCAAUUUUUCACAUUGACUUAAGUUACAAAUUGCAGAAGAUAGAUUGAGGGGGACUCUGGGUGGGCGCAAGCGCAGGAUAUUGAGAAAUCGCAAGGGCAAAGUUAAAAUGAUUGAAUACAUACCAUGUGAAGAGUCAGGGUGAGGCAACGGACAAAUGACGUGUCUAGAUUCUGAUGUCACUUACUUGUGUUAAACACAGACAUCUACUGCCUUUUAUAAAAUGUAUGUGCUGGGUGGUUGUUUUUGUAGAUCUUUUUAAAUGCCCAAUAUUCAUUAUUCAAGUUUCAAUAAAAAUGAUUUUGUUUCUACAAAAAGGAAACAAUUUUAAUUUUUUAUUUGGAAAAAAAAUUAAACGUACAGAAAAUUGCAUGAGUAAGAUUGCAAAGACCGUAUAUAUUAAGGUAAACAUUAAAAUAUUGCUAAUAUUUUAAACCAUUUGCUUUAUCAUUUGUGCUUUCUGUGUGAGUAUAAGAAUUUUAUAUAUACAUUUACACUCACACAUAUGUAUACACACAUAUAUAAAUAUGAUGUUUUUUUCUGAAGAUUCUGAAAGUAAGUCACAAGCAUCGUACACAUCCUUGUACCCCUAAGUACUUCAGUGGUCUGUAUUUCCUAAGAAUAUGGAUACACUCCUAUAUAAUCAAACUGUAGUUAUCAACUUCAGUAAAUUUAACAUGGAUACCAUACUUUAAUCCACAUCAUUUACCACCAGUUGAUCCAAUAAAGUCCUUUUUUUCCUCCAGUCAAGAUCCACUCUGGAAUCAGACAUUGCAUUUACUUGUCAUGUCUCUUUAUUGUUGCUUAAUCUGGAGCAUAUCCACAGCCUUUCUCUCUUUUACAAUAUAGACAUUUUUUAAAGAAAAUGUCCCUCACCCUCACUUCUUUUGUAGUAGAAUGUUCUUCAUUCAGGGUUCGUCUGAUAUUUCAUCAUGAUUCAAUUUGAGCUAAACAUCCCUGGCCAUAAUGCUAUAUAAGUAGUAUGUCCUCAGGGUAUCAAAUAUGGCAGCACAUAUUUAUCUGCCCUCACUUGUGAAUUAAUUUUGAUUACUCCUUCAAAUUUCUCCACUACAUAGUUAUAUUUUUUUCUUGCAACUAAUAAGCAAUCUGUGAGGAGACACUUGUAGAUCAAAUAUCCUGCUCCUCUUCAAAACUUUCCACUAGAUUGAUCAUGAUUCUUGCCUAGUCCCAUCUUUACUGUGAUGGUAAUAAAGGCUCCACAUGUACCCAGAAGUUAGUACUCAGCGUUUUACCAUAAGCAAGAGCCCUGCCUUUGCUUAUUUAUUGUUGUUUUUGCUUUUCAUUUUUAUCCAUUAUUUAAUAUAGGACAGUAGGGGACUCUGGAGCUUAAACAAACUAUCACAUAGUGAGGACUGAGAGUUGAGCUUAUUUUUUUUCCUCCUGGAUAAAAUAAUUUUAUCCAUUGUUUAAUAUAGAAGGAGAGUAGGGGAUUCUGGAGCUUAAACAAACUAGCACAUGGCAGGAUUCAGAUUUGAGCUUUUUGUUGUUAAAAAUAUUUAACAUCAUACAGUCUUAUGAAAUUCUAUUUUUUCAAUAUUUCAUCAUUCAUUAAUGUCAUUAAUUAUUUUGGUGCUCAAAUUAUUUCAGAUUUGUCCAGCAGGAGCCUCUUCAGGCUGGUUCCUGUGUCCUUGUGACAUGCUCUCAUUGUUUUUUUUGAUCACUUUCUUACUUUCUAUCAUAACAAGGUGUCUCAGGCUCAACUUCUGAUUUCCCUACCUCAACCUUGGAAUCAGCCAUUUCUCUGAGGAGCCCUGGUUCCUUUUAUUGGGAAUGGUGUUAGAGAUAAAGAUCCAAGUGCUAAGUCUGCUCAUUGCUACUAGGGUGUAAUUGCUUCUAGAUCCUUUCAGAAGAUGGAAAACAUACGCAUGCAUACAUACAUAUGCAUAUACAGACAUAUACUCAUAGACACACAUAUAGACACACAGAUGUUUGCAUGAAUACUGUGCAUACACACAGUCUCACAUACACUGACAUCUAGUUCUUAUUUGUAUGACCCUUUUCCAGAGUAUGAUGCUGGAUCCUAACAAUCUCAACCUAUUUGUCCAUUUCUUCAACCUUAUAAUCUACCUAAAAUGGUUUCAGACUUGCUUCACCCAAAAACAAGUCUACAAAAUCUACAAAAAGAGUUCAGAAUUUGUUUUCAGUCUCCCACCUCCCACAAUGCCACCAACUUUGGUCGAUUUUUAAUUUAUUGUUGAUAAAUUUAACAACUUAUCCUAAAAUGUUACCAGAACCAUUUCCCAGUAGUGUGACAUAUUUUAAAAAUCAAAUUAGGCCAGGCACAAUGGUUCACAUCCCACGACUUUGGGAGGCCGAGGCAGGUGGAUCAUCUGAGGUCAGGAGUUUGAGACCAGACUGGCCAACAUAGCAAAACCCCAUCUCUACUAAAAAUACAAAAAUUAGCUUGGCGUGGUGGUGGGCGCCUGUAAUCCCAGCUACUCAGGAGGCUGAGGCAGGAGAAUCAUUGCUUGAAUCCGGGAGGUGGAGGUUGCAGUGAGCUGAGAUCGCACCAUUGCUCUCCAGCCUGGGCAACAAGAGCAAAACUUGUCUUAAAAAAAAAAAAAAAAAAAAGCCUAAAUUAUUUAUUGCUGAUAAGAGUGUGUGCUCUGUUUCAUGGACCAGCUUUGCAAUUUCCUUCCAAAUAUUCAUCUACUUGCAAAAUAAAUGCCAUCCCUUCCCACGCCAACCAUAUUGAUGAUGUAGUGGCAGGAAGGAGAGUAGGGGACUCUGGAGCUUAAACAAACCAUCACAUGGUAAGGAUUGAGAGUUGAGCUUUUUGUUAAAAAUAUGUUGUAGAUCUACAUUAUUAUAAACUGAUUUUUCUGUUUGACCUUAAGUAUUUUCAGCACUUUUACUGUGAUAGGUUAACUGUCAGCCAUAAACAUUUCUAAAGAAAUAGGAAAAUAUUCUUCCUAUAUUAUUCAAAAUACAAGUUUCUGGUUUAUAGCAACUAAUACUGUUUUUCCUCUCAACCUGCCGUUUCCAACUGCUACCUUUUCUCAUUGAGUGAAUCCUGGUCUUCACUUGAAAAAGUUAGAUUUAUAUCCUCUAUUCUUUAUUUUUGUAUUUAUAUUUUAUUUCUAUUUUCUUGAGUCCUACAGUCUCAUAAAAUCGUUUUGAAUAGCAGAGCUGCAGAGCUGAUGGGGAGGUCAGCUAUGUUAAUUCCACAGCGCCCCAGUCUUCGGUGUGAGGUUGCCUAGCAACCCAUCUCUCAGGCCUCCUUUGUGGGUGAGAGAAGAGAAAGCAAUUCUUCUAUACACUCUCAAGCCGAGAUGAUUUUUAUAAAGUGAAAAACCUUUCGUAAAGGGUCUAACACAACCCCUGCUUCUCCUCCUCUGCCCACUGUACACUUCACAUAUGAUGAGAGAAAUAUUCCAUCCUUUUGAGCUUUAGAUCUGAUACAGAUACAAAGCAGAGCUAGACACUGUAUGGUCAAACAGUGGAAGUGACCUGUAUCUUCAUGUUAAAUUGAGACACAUUAAUUAAACCACUCAUCUUCCCUUUUCUCUUCUAUGAAAGCAUAGUUUCCCCUCAAGUUCUAAAAGCCAGUUAUGUUAAAUGAAACUGCAACUGCCUGCUGAGCAUCAGUUACCAUAGCGAUGAGAGCCAGGAGUGAUGUUUUUCUCCUUAGGCACAGGAUGACUGAAAUGUGUUCAACCAGGGGAUUCAAGCAGCCUGCUGACUAGAAACAGGCAUCUGGGAAGAGCCUGCUCGGUUGCUUUUUCUCCACACUUAUUUGAAAAAAUAACCCCUCUGCUAUUCCCUUAAAGCUGUUGCCUUUUUAGAACCAAACUUCAGUGGGUGGCAGAAGUGCCCUACCUUAGGCAUACAGGAGAAGGCGGAGCAAUGAUGCAUGCUAGUGAAAACCACACGAACAGCUGAGAGUGCACGCGAACAAUGCAGAGAAGAUGCAUUGCCCUUUCAGAUGUCUCUGAAAAUACAGAGUACCACAUGGAUUUUCCACAUUGUGAAAAUACUUAGGUACAUUUUUUUGAAACAUUUAUAAUCCUAUUACCUUAUUUUCCAGGCAGAUGAUGUUAUUCACAAGAAUAUUGUGGUUCCAGUGGAUAAUAGUUUAUGGAGGGUUGUUGUAAGUUAAAAUAAGUAUAAGGAAAAAUGCUUUGUGGUAUUCUCAUUUGCCUCUAAUUAUGGCUGAGAAGAGAGAGGCAGGGUAGCACAAUGGGCUUUGGAGUCAAACAACCUGGGUUGACCUCCUCUGCCAUUUAACAGUGUGAUUUGGGGCAAGUUCCAUAAGCUGUCUAGGUCUCACUUUCCUAAUUUUUACAAAGAAACUAAAGAGAGUAUUGUUAACAGUGUGAAGUACGAAAAUAUACAUAAAACACCUGAUUGAAACACUGAUGACUGUUACAAUCAAUUUGGCUUAAUUGACCACUCAGUACUAAUUGAACACCUGGUACAUGCCCAUGCUUGAUGUGAGAAGAGUACUGAGGUCCCAGCCAAAAAGAGGGCAGCUAAGUUUGGGGACUGCAACUGCAGGUUAUCUACCUUUCUGAUGCUUCAGAAAGGUUUGGUAUGUCAUCCUCACCAAUGUUCUAUCCAUAGUGGCAGUGACAUGAUACUCCUUGUGCGUCUACCUCCAUGACCAGUUCACAGGGAAACUCUUACUGCUGUUUCUUAACUAAAUUUUGCUUUUCUACCAUAACUGUCAUUACCAGCACCCUCAGUCAUCACAAUCAUUAGACUAGACAUCUGCCUCCAUGGAGAAUAUGUGAAUACCUCUGAAUGUACUUCCUGGAGGAGCUGCCAAACUAUUUCCAGCAAUGGCAAAUCAGAAUGUAUGUGAAUUCCCAAAGUGCCUUCCCUGGACAUUCUUUUCUAGCAACAGUAUACCUUCUGGUGACUUUCUAACAAAGCAAUUACAUAAUUCCUGGAAAGCAUAUACUUUUAAAAUUUUAGAUCAUUGAAUCUAACCCUUUCAUUUUAGAGAUAAAAGGGAGCUCAGGAACAUUGAUUAAAUUACCCAAUUCAUUUUUAUGUAUGCAUUUAUUUAUAUCUAUGUAUACAGCCAAAAAUAAUAUCAUAUAAAUAUAUACAUGUACCUACACACACGUGUAUUCAUAUAUAAAUACACACAUGUAAAGAGAAGGAAUCAGUUACACAAAUACAUAAUUUUUUUUCAGGUUGUCUGAAAGUAUACUCCAAGUUUCCCCAAGCUAGAGACCAUUAUUAUCAGUGAUUGCUCUAUAAUUUGCAAGUAGCAGAAACCAACUUAGGAUGGCCUGAGUUAUAUGUAAGUCUUCAAGUUGGCACUGGAGCUGAAAGGUGGGAAGGAUUGGAACCAGGGACUGGAAUAUGGGCAAGACUCUAUGCCUUUCCUCUGAUACUUUCUGCAUGUUGGUGUUCACUCAACUAUCCAUCCAUUUAGGAAUCCCAGCCAUUUGACACAUAUUCACUGAAGACCUAUUCUAUGCCAGGCACUGUGCCAGGCAGAGGGAAAGCCCUCAUAUAGGGCAGACCUGGUCUUCUCCAUUAGAUCCUGUGAAACUUAUUGGCUUUCAUUCUCUCUUGCCACUGCCAUGUAAGUAGUAGCUUUUGCCUUCCACCAUGAUUAUGAGGCCUCCCCAGCCAUGUGGAACUAUGAGUUUGUUAAACCUCUUGUAUUAGUCUAUUUUCAUGCUGAUGAUAAAAGACAUAAACCUGAGACUGGACCAUUUACAGAAAAAAAGAGUUUAGUGGGACUUACAGUUCCAUGUGCCUGGGGAGGCCUCACAAUCAUGGUGGAAGCCAAGGAGCAGCAAGUCAAAUCCUACAUGGAUGGCAGCAGACAAAAAGAGAGAGCUUGUGCAGGAAAUUCCUCCUUAUAAUACCAUCAGAUAUUAUGAGACUUAUUUGCUAUCACAAGAACAGCACUCAGAUAUUAUGAGACUUAUUCACUAUCACAAGAAUAGCACCUGCCCCCAUGAUUCAAUUACCUCCCACUGAGUUCCUCCUACAACACGUGGGAAUUCAAGAUGAGAUUUGGGUGGGGACAUAGCCAAACCAUAUCACCUCUUUUUCUUCCCAGUCUCAGGUAUGUCUUUAACAGCAGCAGGAAUACAGACUAAUACAGUAAAUUGGAACCAAUAUAGUGGGGCACUGCUGAAAAGAUACCCAAAAACAUGGAAGCAACUUUGGAACUGGGUAACAGGCAGAGGCUGGAGCAGUUUGGAGGGCUCAAAAGAAGCCAGAACAAUGUGGGAAAGUUUGGAACUCCCUAGAGACUUGUUGAAUGGCUUUGCCCAAAAUGCUGAUAGCAAUAUGGACAAUAAAGUCUAGGCUAAGGUGGUCUCAAAUGGAGAUGAGGAACUUGUUGGGAACUGGAGCAAAGGUGACUCUUGUUAUGUUUUAGCAAAGUGGCUGGCAGCAUUUUGCCUCUGCCCUAGAGAUUUGUGGAACUUUAAACUUGAGAGAGAUGAUUUAGGGAAUCUGGUGGAAGAAAUUUCUAAGCAACAAAGCACUCAAGAGGUGUUUUGGGUGCUGUUAAAGGCAUUCAGUUUUAUAAAGAAAACAGAACAUAAAAUUAAGAAAUUUGCAGCCUGACAAGGUGAUAGAAAAGAAAAUCCCAUUUUCUGAGGAGAAAUUUAAGCUGGCUGAGGAAGUUUGCAUAAGUAAUGAGGAGCUGAAUGUGAAUCAUUGCCAAGACAAUGGGGAAAAUGUCUCCAGUGCAUGUCAGAAGUCUUCAAGGUAGCCCCUCCCAUCACAGACCUGGAGGCCUAGGAGGGAAAAAUGGUUUCAUUGGCUGGGCCCAGUGUCCCUCUGCUGUGUGUAGUCUAAGGACUUUAGCGCCCUGUGUCCCAGCCACUCCAGCCGUGACUAAAAGGGACCAAGGUAGAGCUCAGGCUGUGGCUUCAGAGGGUGCAAGCCCCAAGCCUUGGCAGCUUUCACGUGGAGUUGAGCCUGUGAGUGCACAGAAGUCAAGAAUUGGAAUUUGGGAACCUCCACCUAGAUUUUAGAGGAAGUAUGGAAAUGCCUGGAUGUCCAGGAAGAAGUUUUGCUUCAAGGACAAACCUCAGAGAGAACCUCUGGUAGGGUAGUGUGGAAGGCACAUGUGAGGUGGAAGCCCCCACACGGAGUCCCCACUAAGGUGCUGCCUAGUGGAAUUGUGAGAAAAGAGUCUCCAUCCUCCAGACCCCAGAAUGGAAGAUCCACUGACAGCUUGCACUGUGCACCUGGAACAGUCACAAGACACUCAUCACCAGCCCAUGAAAGCAGCCAGAAAGGAGGCUGUACCCUGCAAAGCCACACUGGUAGAGCUGCCCAAGACCAUGGGAACCCACUUCUUGCAUCAGCAUAACCUGGAUGUGAGAUAAGGAGUCAGAGCAGGUUAUUUUGGAGCUUUAAGAUUUAACUGCCCUGCUGGAUUUUGGACUUGCAUGGGGCCUGUAGCCCCUUCAUUUUGCCCAAUUUCUCCCAUUUGGAAUGGCUGUAUUUACCCAAUGCCUGUACCUCCAUUUUAUCUAGCAAGUAACUAACUUGCUCUUGAUUUUACAGGCUUAUAGGCAGAAGGGACUUGCCUUGUCUCAGGUGAGACUUUGGACUGUAGACUUUUAAAAGAGUUAGUGCUGAAAUGAGUUAAGACUGUGAGAGACUGUUGGGAAGGCAUGAUUGUUUUUGACAUGUAAGGACAUGAGAUUUGGGAGGGGCAAGGGGCAGAGUGAUAUGGUUUGGCUGUGUCCCCACCCAAAUAUCAUAUUGAAUUCCCACAUGUUGUGGGAGGGACCCUGUGGGAGGUACUUGAAUCAUGGGGGCAGGUGUUUCUCCUGCUGUUCUCAUGACAGUGAAUACAUCUCACAGGAUCUGAUGAUUUUAUAAGGGGAGUUUCCUUGUGCAAGCUCUGUUUGCCUGCUGCCAUCCAUGUAAGAUGUGACUUGCUCCUCCUUGGCUUCCACCAUGAUUGUGAUGCCUUCCCAGCCAUGUGGAACUGGAAGUCAGCAAACAAGAUGCUAACUGAUGGAGUGAAAUCCCCAGGAGAUGCAGAAGGCAAGUGCAGCCAACUGAGGCCUCAGGGGCAGGAGAUGCCCAUCGUGAUGAGAGCUAUGGCUUUCUCCAGUGAUGAUUCUGCUUCUAUGAGGUCACAAGCAGUAGAACCAUAUCUUGCUGGCAUACACUUGGGAUGGCCCCGCCUCUCCUGGACUUCCAUCUGUCAUCAGGAGAACAUGACCAUCUGGAGUCAGUACAGAUCAUCAAUCCUUCCACAUAUACAAGUUCAUUUUAAAUUUUUAAAAAUAUAAUACAACUGAGAAGUCUUCAUUAAA